CUGCGCCCGCGCGCGCGUCCUCGACUCUCGCCGCGCGCUCCGCACGAACGAAUCCUUUUUUUCUGAUACAACAUCUUAUAAGAACUGCUUUUAUCGUGUUUUCGAUCGGCCGAAAGUGGCGUGGUUGUGAUUCGAGCCGCGUUUGUGUGAUGGUCGCGCCGUAGCAGGCCGCGGCGUCGCGAUCUGUGUGUUUUUUUGCAUUGCAACUUUUGCAUCCGAGUCCUGUGGUGUUGCCGGGCGCGAGUGCCGGCCCCGAUCGGUUCGGCGACUCAAGUUCAUUGUCGAGUUAUCUUGAUCCGAGAAACUGGUGGCGCCGGCGCAGCAUGCGCGGCGUGACGUAGCGCGAUGGCGUCCGACGCGCGCGCGCGCUCGCCGCCGCCCGCGCGCCUGCGCCGCGACAACAACAGGUCCCCGUACGUGACGCUGGGCGCGGUGCGCUACGCCGUGCGCCGCGCGCCGCCGCCGCGCGCCUGCCCGUGCCGCUGCUGCUCCGAGG
Long non-coding RNA from Ostrinia nubilalis (European corn borer), 496 nucleotides. RefSeq lists it as uncharacterized. NCBI's taxonomy places the organism in Eukaryota, Metazoa, Arthropoda, Insecta, Lepidoptera, Crambidae. The transcript is spliced from 3 exons. The record is from RefSeq and is a predicted model, not a curated record.